Molecule: non-coding RNA, 47 nt
Organism: Balearica pavonina (black crowned-crane)
Lineage: Eukaryota; Metazoa; Chordata; Aves; Gruiformes; Gruidae
Source: Rfam
CCAAAGGCUCUUUUAAGAGCCGCACACUUCCUUCUAAGAAGAGCUGU